CUUCACAGGAUUUAUCAAAGGGUUGUGUGUUAAGCCCACAGCUGUUCAUCAUAUUUAUUAAUAAGUUGUUUUCCUUAAUGGAACAGGAAGGUGGUAUAGGUGUUAAUGUUUCACCUGGUUUUAACAAUUUGUGUUCACUUAUGUUUGCUGAUGAUAUUU
Haliotis rubra (blacklip abalone) is the source of this 159-nucleotide long non-coding RNA. RefSeq lists it as uncharacterized. Lineage: Eukaryota; Metazoa; Mollusca; Gastropoda; Lepetellida; Haliotidae. The record is from RefSeq and is a predicted model, not a curated record. The transcript has 3 exons.